This 762-nucleotide ribosomal RNA is filed under the name uncultured Bacteroidota bacterium. RNAcentral describes it as "bacterial SSU rRNA". It matches the Rfam family "Bacterial small subunit ribosomal RNA", at positions 9 to 764 of the family's 1533-position model. The record is from RNAcentral. Lineage: Bacteria; Pseudomonadati; Bacteroidota.
GAGUUUGAUCCUGGCUCAGGAUGAACGCUAGCGGCAGGCCUAACACAUGCAAGUCGAACGGUAACAGGAAUUAGCUUGCUAAUUUGCUGACGAGUGGCGCACGGGUGCGUAACGCGUAUACAAUCUACCUUUUGCUGAGGGAUAGCCCAGAGAAAUUUGGAUUAAUACCUCAUGGUAUUAUUGAUAGGCAUCUAUUAAUAAUUAAAGGUUACGGCAAAAGAUGAGUAUGCGUCCCAUUAGCUAGUUGGCGAGGUAACGGCUCACCAAGGCAACGAUGGGUAGGGGUCCUGAGAGGGAGAUCCCCCACACUGGUACUGAGACACGGACCAGACUCCUACGGGAGGCAGCAGUGAGGAAUAUUGGACAAUGGGCGAGAGCCUGAUCCAGCCAUGCCGCGUGCAGGAAGACUGCCCUAUGGGUUGUAAACUGCUUUUAUACAGGAAGAAUAAGCCUUACGUGUAAGGUGAUGACGGUACUGUAAGAAUAAGGACCGGCUAACUCCGUGCCAGCAGCCGCGGUAAUACGGAGGGUCCGAGCGUUAUCCGGAAUUAUUGGGUUUAAAGGGUCCGUAGGCGGAUGAUUAAGUCAGGGGUGAAAGUUUGCAGCUCAACUGUAAAAUUGCCUUUGAUACUGGUCAUCUUGAGUUGUAUUGAAGUAGGCGGAAUAUGUAGUGUAGCGGUGAAAUGCAUAGAUAUUACAUAGAACACCAAUUGCGAAGCAGCUUUACUAAGUACUAACUGACGCUGAUGGACGAAAGGCGAR